Molecule: long non-coding RNA, 7708 nt
Filed under: Manihot esculenta (cassava)
Lineage: Eukaryota; Viridiplantae; Streptophyta; Magnoliopsida; Malpighiales; Euphorbiaceae
Description: long non-coding RNA (MESC_LNC009843)
Source: RNAcentral
ACCCCAUUCCCUUAAUCCCCCAGGUUUGCAGGUACGAGAUAGACCAGGAAGUCAGCAAGAGUAAAGAAGUCAUGUUAUAUGUAAUAGUUAGAUGUGGAUAUGUAAUAUAAAGUAUAGUAAUGUAAUGUAAUGUAAUGAUGUAUAUUGAGGUUUAGAGUUGUGCUUGACCCUAGUAUGUAAAGUAAAUCCCUUUUGCACAUGAUCUAUGAAAUGUUUUAAUGAUGAUUUAUGUAAACCAAGCUUAAUGUAUGAUAUGUUACCCCAUUGGAGCAUUUGAUGAGGGCUCCAGUGUGGGGUUUUAUAUUUAUGGCUAUGUGUAUGCACAGGUUAAGCUUGGUAAAUGAAAGAAAAAGUUUAAAGUUUUUAUGUAUAUGUUUGAUCAUGUAUGGGAUUUAACAGGUAUACAGGAGGUAUGUUAGGCUUGCUACGGGUCCCGGCGGCCUUAAGCCGAUCUGGAUCCUAGCGCCGGUAGCGGUCCAGUUUUCGGGUCGUUACAGAUUGGUAUCAGAGCCCUAGGUUCAUAUGGUCGGACCUAUAGUGUGUCGGGCUCAUAGAGGUUAUAGAAGGGCAAGCACAAUAGGAAAAUCAUGUCCACUAGGAUAGGAUGUAGAGUCUUGUCUUGAAUAAUGAUGUGAAAUGCCAUGAUUUUAUGCAUGUGCAUUGAUGAUAUGCUGUGUAUGUGAUGUAUGUGAUGCGGGUUCAUGUGUUUCCACAUGAACCAUAUGAUGCUAAUGUUUUAUGUGAUGUGUGCUGUUUUUCAGUAAGCAAGAUGAGAGGAACUCGUCGAUCUGCACGAUUGACUGGAGUACCACCUCAGGAUGAGGGCACGGAUGCCCGUCCUCCUGCAUUGCCUAGGGCAAUGUCCUGCAGGUCUAGUAGGGAGAGAGUGUCAAGGGACCCUAGAAGGUCUUUUGAUAUGAGCAGAAGAGGAACAGUUCAAGCUGGAGUGUUAGAAGAUGUGGGGGAUGAUAUGGAUGUGGAUUAGAGGAGGGAUGGCAGUCUUAGUGUGAGCAUGUUGGAAGAGGGCAUGGUAGAGUCUCAGGGAGGCACUCAGGCCUCGGGGUUUGUUCAACCACCCCAAUACCCACCCUUUUCACAGAAUCCCGGGUAUUCGAUGAGAGGUACAUCGGAUUACGCCAGUUUUAACCCUUAUCCUUCUUACAUACCAUACCCACCUUUCUACCCACCAUACUCACAGUACCCUAUGUACCCACCCCCAUCCUUUUAUCCAGGUACAACAAACCCUAAUCCAGGGAAUGUUGCGCCUCCUCCACCACCAGCAGAACCUAUAGUCCCAGAAGCCCAAGUACCUAAACCUAGCUCAUCUGGAGGGAGCAAGGCCAAGAUGACUGACUACUUGAAGUUGGAUGCUCCUAAGUAUGAAACAGGUGAUAAUCCGUUUGAGUACCUCAGGAUGGUCAAGAUGAUAACAGAUGAGUUAGGGGCAGAUGACAGUAGAGCCAUUCAGAUGGCUGGGUUCACACUGAAGUGCAAAAAGGCGGGAGAGUGGUUUAAAAACUACGUGAACCCGAGGUUGGAUAGUCUAUCAUGGGAGGAGUUUGCUAAUGGGUUUGCAGGAUGGGCUUUCCUUGAUAGCUCAAGGGAGUUGAAGAUGAUCGAGUUUGAACAGUUGAGGUAGUCAGAGGAGAUGAGUGUAGAUGAGUUCACAGAUAAGUUCUUGGAGCUGUUGCCGUUUGCAGGGCAAAAUCUGGACACAGAUCAAAAGAAGGCUAGGAGGUAUAUCAUGAAGCUUCAUUCUAGGUAUUCCUCCUUGAUCCAAUCAGCAGAGAGGGAGAAUUUCCAUGCCAUAGUGGAUAUGGCCCAGAGGAUGGAGGCUAGUGCAAUAAUCGAAUGAAAAGUUAAGCAGUCAGUGGCACAGCCUUUUGGUUUCAAAACCCCAGGUGGGGGAAAGUUAGACCCUCCUUUUUUGAGUGCAGCAGUUUCAGGCAGUAAAAAGUGGGGUAAUACCACUAAGAAGUCAAAGAAGAACAAGUUUUGGAACAAGAUAAAGUCAGGUCUGGGAUUAGGAGGUGGCUCAAGCUCAGGUGCAGACAGUGCAGUAUGUAUGAAGUGUGGGAAGCCGCAUAAGGGAGUAUGUCGGUUUGGGACGACAGCCUGUUUCAUAUGUGGGCAGGAGGGACACAUGGCACGGGAGUGUCCUAGAGCAGCUUUUAUGGCACAGUCCCAGCAGACAGCUUCUGGUAGUGUGGCUCAGCCAGUAGCUCCAGCUGCGACUCAGGCCAGUGGCAGAGGCAGAGGGAGAGGGGCAGCCUCUUCUUCAACGGGCUUCAGGGGUGAAGGUCCAUCAGCUCCAGCGCGGAUCUUCACUAUGACACAGCAGGAGGCAAAUGCAUCAAACACCGUGGUGUCAGGUAAUCUCAUCAUUGGUUGUUCGGAUGUUUAUGCCUUAAUGGACCCUAGUGCAUCUCAUUCUUUUGUUGCUCCGAGCGCCGUUGAGAGGUUGGGUUUGAUUGUCUCUGGGUUAGAGUGUCCCCUAUGGGUCAGUGGACCCAAGUGUGACCCGUCAGUGGCAGAGUCAGUCUGCCGGCUUUGUCCAGUAUUUGUGGAGAGUAGAUGCCUUCCAGUCGACCUUGUGGUUAUAGAUUUGAUGGAUUUUGAUGUCAUUCUAGGGAUAGAUUGGCUAUCUACCCAUAGUGCUACCUUGGACUGCAGAGACAAGGUAGUCUGGUUCAGAGGUCAGGAUGGGUUAGAGGUUGUCUUCAGAGGAGACAGGAGGGGUACACCUAAAGGUUUGAUAUCAGCCCUACAGGCUCGUAGGUUGCUCAGGAGGGGUUGUCAGGGUUUUCUAGCUCAUGUGAGAGAGCUGGAUAGUCAUGUUAGAGAGCCCGCCUCAGUGCCCUGGUUAGAGAGUUUUUAGAUGUCUUCCCAGAUGAGCUGCCAGGUUUACCACCUACUAGGGAGAUAGAGUUUGAAAUAGAAUUGAUGCCUGGAACCAGACCAAUCUCUAUCCCUCCCUACAGGAUGGCACCAGCUGAGUUGAAAGAGUUGAAAGAACAGUUGCAAGAGUUGGUAGAUAAGGGCUUCAUCCAACCGAGUACCUUACCUUGGGGCACUCCAGUGCUGUUUGUGAAAAAGAAGGAUGGAUCCCUUAGACUUUGUAUCGACUACAGGCAGUUGAACAAAGUCACUACGAAGAAUAAGUACCUGUUGCCUAGGAUUGAUGAUCUAUUCGACCAGCUAGCAGGAGCAGGUUGUUUCUCCAAGAUAGAUCUGAGAUCCGGGUACCAUCAGUUGAGAAUAAGAGAAGAGGAUAUGCUGAAGACGGCGUUCAGAACCAGAUAUGGGCACUAUGAGUUCCUUGUGAUGCCGUUCGGGUUAAUUAAUGCCCCUGCAGUAUUCAUGGACCUCAUGAAUAGAGUUUUCAGUCAGUAUCUGGAUCACUUUGUUAUUGUCUUCAUAGAUGAUAUCUUAGUGUAUUCCAGGAAUGCAGAGGAGCAUGCCCAUCAUCUGAGGUUAGUCUUGCAGACCUUGAGGGAACACGGCUUGUAUGCCAAGUUCUCCAAGUGUGAGUUCUGGUUGAGAAGCAUUUCAUUCUUGGGGCAUGUUGUGUCAGAGAAUGGAAUAGAAGUGGACCCUAAGAAGGUGGAAGCUGUAGCUAACUGGCCUAGACCCACUACAGUGACAGAGAUCAAGAGUUUCUUGGGUUUGGCAGGUUACUACAGGAGGUUCGGAUAGGACUUCUCAAAAAUUGCUGCUCCUAUGACCAGAUUAACUAAGAAGAAUCAGAGGUUUGUGUGGAUUGACCAGUGUGAAGAGAGCUUCGAAGAGCUGAAGAAAAGGUUGACGUCAGCAUCAGUGUUAGCUCUGCCUACCAGUAAUGAAGACUUCAUAGUGUAUUAUGAUGCGUCCCGUGUGGGAUUGGGUUGUGUGUUGAUGCAGAAUGAAAGGGUGAUUGCUUAUGCUUCUAGGCAGCUGAAGAAGCAUGAGUUGAAUUACCCUACACAUGACCUAGAGAUAGCAGCUGUAAUCUUUGCACUCAAGAUGUGGAGGCAUUACCUGUAUGGGGUAAGAUGUGAGAUCUUUACAGAUCAUAAAAGCUUGCAGUACAUCUUGAGUCAGAGAGAGUUGAACCUGAGGCAGAGAAGAUGGGUAGAACUGCUCAGUGACUAUGAUUGCAAGAUUCAGUACCAUCCGGGUAAGGCGAAUGUUGUGGCAGAUGCCCUAAGCCGGAAAUCACUUAGCAGUUUGUCCCAUAUUACAGCAGAGAGAAGACCAGUGGUGAGGGAGUUCUUCGAGCUCAUUAACGAAGGGCUACAGUUAGAGUUGUCUGGUACAGGUGCUUUGAUAGCCCAGAUGAGAGUGACACCUGUGUUUCUGGAGCAGGUGGCUCAGAAACAGCACGAGGACCCAGAGUUAGUGAAGAUUGCCAGGAUUGUUCAGUCAGGCAAGAAUGAUGAGUUCAGAUUUGACAGCAAGGGGAUCCUUCGUUAUGGGAGCAGAUUGUGUGUACCAGAUGACGGAGGUCUGAAGGGAGACAUUAUGAGGGAAGCUCAUAAUGCCAGAUACAGUGUUUACCCUGGAGCCACCAAAAUGUAUCAUGAUCUGAAAAGAGUGUAUUGGUGGCCAGCUAUGAAGAGAGAAGUGGCACAGUUCGUGUCCGCCUGCGAAGUAUGUCAGAGGGUGAAGCUGGAACAUCAGAAGCCGGCUGGAAUACUUAACUCACUGCCGAUUCCAGAAUGAAAAUGGGAGAAUAUAGCUAUGGAUUUCGUGGUGGGGUUACUGGCAGUGUCCAACAGAUUGGACUCCAUAUGGGUGAUUGUGGACAGGAGUGGCUAUUCUGUGUACAAAUUGGCGCAGGUAUUUGUUGAUGAAGUGGUCAGGUUGCAUGGGGCUCCUGUUUCAAUAGUGUCUGAUAGAGGACCCCAGUUCACCUCUAGGUUUUGGCGGAGUUUGCAGAGUGCUAUAGGUACCAGGCUAGACUUCAGCACUGCUUUCCAUCCUCAGACGGACUGACAAUCAGAGAAGACCAUCCAGACAAUAGAAGAUAUGCUCAGAAUGUGUGUGCUAGAUUUUGGAGAUUCUUGGAGGCAGCAUCUACCUUUGAUGGAGUUUGCCUACAAUAACAGCUAUUAUGCUAGCAUAGGGAUGGCUCCAUAUGAAGCUUUGUAUGGAAGGAAGUGCAGGUCACCUGUCUGCUGGGAGGAAGUUGGAGAGAGGUGCUUAGCGGAGCCUGAGUUAGUAGAGAUCACCAGCAGAGUAGUACCAAUUAUCAGAGAAAGAAUCAAGACUGCUGUAAGCAGGCAAAAGAGUUAUGCAGAUAUCCGCAGAAGACAAGUAGAGUUUCAGGAGGGGGAUUUGGUAUUGCUCAAGGUGUCUCCUAUGAAAGGGGUUGUUCGUUUUGGGAAGAAAGGUAAGUUAGCUCCACGGUACAUCGGACCCUUUGAAAUCUUGUAAAAGAUCGGGAAUGUAUCGUACAAGUUAGACUUACCUGCUUCAAUGGAGAGAAUCCAUCUGGUUUUCCAUGUUUCCAUGUUACGGAAGUUCGUGUCAAAUCCGGGCAAGGUUCUUAGUGAGCCUGAUAUGGAAAUCCUAGAAGAUCUCACCUAUGUUGAGCAGCCGGUGCGGAUCUUAGACACGCAAAUCAGAAAGCUAAGGAACAAGGAAAUCCCGAUGGUGAAAGUCCUUUGGAAUCACCACAACAUAGAAGAAUGUACCUGGGAGACACGGGACUCUAUGCUCCAGCAAUAUCCUUAUCUCUUCUAAGGUGAGUGUUAUGUGUUUUGUAUGUAUGUUUAUGUUUUAUGCUAUGUAUACUUGUUUGGUGAACAUUCGGGGACGAAUGUUCUUAAGGGGGGGAGAAUGUAAUACCCAGUUAGACUCCGGUAUCGGAAUUCCUACCGUCCGGUGGAAUCUCGGAUGUUGGAAACCUCUAGAAGGGUAAAAACAUGUUUUUAUAAAAUGUUUUCAUGUAUUUUAUGGUUUUAAGUAAGAAAGAAAUUGAGUUUUGAAUGAAAAAUACCAUAGAGGGAAAUCCAUGUUCGGCCGCCGAACAUGCAUGAGUUUUGGAGUCACCUUCGGCUUCCGAAGGUGGCUUGGCCAGCCACCUAUAAAAGGCCCCAUGGCCGAAAAUGGGCGAGCUUUCUCCCCUAUUUUCGGCCAACGGUGAGUCCAUGCCCUCCCAUGGUUGGUUUUGAUGAUUUUCCUCAAAUCUUUCAAGUUUUAACAAGUUUUAACUUGGUUUUGCAGAUUUUUGAAGCUAAGAUCAAGUUUUGGAGCUUGGAGACCCAAGAAGCUAGAUUUCUCCCAUCUCUAAGUUAGGAUCGUCUCUCCUCUCGAUCUUCAAGAGGUAAGCUUAGAUCCUACCUUUCUUGUAUGUUUUAAACAAGUUUUGAGGGGUUAUGGGGUAGAAAUGCAUGUUUAGGUUAAUGUUGAGUUUAUGGAUAAUGUGUGUUGUAUGAGUUGCUAUAUGUGUUUGUGUUGGGGUUUAGGUUAGUUUGAGACCCCUAUAUGCUUAUUUGCUUGUGUAUGCAUGUUGUAGAAUAGCUAAAUGCAUGUUUGAAUGGUUUGGGAGGCAAAAUGUGCAUGAGGAGGCUGAGUUCUGCCACUUUGGGAGAACUCAGGUUCAGCAGCCGAAGGACUUUCGGCAGCCGAACCUGCCUGUGGAGGCAAGCCUUUGGCUGCCGAACCCUGCCCCUGAAAGUUGGACUUUCGGCUCUGGAGGGGAGUUUCGGCCGCCGAAGGUGCCGCCGAACAUGCAUGAGUUUCAGCUCUAGAAUCACUUUCGGCCGCCGAAGGUGCUGCCAAAAGUGGCUGAGUUUCGGCUCUAGAGGGACUUUCGGCCGCCGAACCUGCCGCCGAAAGUGCCCUGUUCAGCCUUCCUUUGCAUGAUUUCUAUGAUUGUUUUAAGGUAUUUUAGGGGGUUUUUGGGGAGAUGUUUAGAGUCAUGUUCAUGUAUGUUUGGUCCCUCAUUUGAGUCCAGCUGUGUAGGUUCGGACCCGAGGAACCGAGGACCCCAGCAGUGAGAUAGCUGCUUCAGUGUCUUUUCAGAGCUAGCUUGAGGUGAGUAGAAUUAAUCUUUAUGUUUCAAAACAAAUAAAUCAAUUUGGAGCAUGUUCAUGCAUCACGAUUGCCAUAAGAUAUAUUAGGUUAUUUGCAUUAGAAUUCACGAAUAUGUUGCAUUGCAUAAUAUGAUGUUGUUGUGGAUGAACAUUGGAUGAUCCAUUAGCCCUCGUAUGAAAUGAUAUGGUAUGAUAUGAUGAUGAUACGGUAAAGAAGUCCACGAAGACCCAUUCUACGUCCCUGGCACUAUGUAAGAGAAAGUCCAGGAAGACCCAUUCUACGUCUCUGGCACCUUGGAAUGUUAUGAUAUGUUAUGUAAGAGAAAGACCAGGACCCAUUCCACGUUCUGGCACUAUUGGAAAUGUAGAGGGCUAUUGGUGACAAGUUCAUCUUUAAUGUGAAUUGUUUGUGAUGUGAUGCAUUUCAUGAAAGCAUGAAUUUUAAUAUAAUGUUUUCCUAUUCUGCUCACUGGGCUCUAGUAGCUCACCCCAUUCCCUUAAUCCCACAGGUUUGCAGGUACGGGAUAGACCAGGAAGUCAGCAAGAGUAAAGAAGUCAUGUUGUAUGUAAUAGUUAGAUGUGGACAUGUAAUGUAAAGUAUAGUAAUGUAAUGUAAUGUAAUGAUGUAUAUUGAGGUUUAGAGUUGUGCUUGACCCUAGUAUGUAAAGUAAAUCCCUUUUGCACAUGAU